UAACGGCGCAUUGCCGCGCCGUCCGCCAAUUGUCCUGCCUAUGUGAUCCUCGAGGAAGCAGGGCUGGAGCCAUCUCCUGCCACGUGGCGCUCUUGACCCCCCCGAUACGUUGCCAAUGGUGAAGAGGCAAUGGAAGAGAGAAUAGUUCGAGAAGACUAGAAAUGCUACGGUAAGACAAAGAAUAGGCAACUGUAUGGCCCCUACAUCUUUAUUUUUUUUAGAGAGCAAACAUUACAUUUCUCUUCA
RNAcentral lists this long non-coding RNA (246 nucleotides) under Elaeis guineensis (African oil palm). RNAcentral describes it as "long non-coding RNA (EGUI_LNC038750)". Lineage: Eukaryota; Viridiplantae; Streptophyta; Magnoliopsida; Arecales; Arecaceae. The record is from RNAcentral.